Molecule: ribosomal RNA, 381 nt
Filed under: uncultured marine Chaetocerotaceae
Lineage: Eukaryota; Bacillariophyta; Thalassiosirophyceae; Chaetocerotales; Chaetocerotaceae
Description: SSU rRNA
Rfam family: Eukaryotic small subunit ribosomal RNA
Source: RNAcentral
AGCUCCAAUAGCGUAUAUUAAAGUUGCUGCAGUUAAAAAGCUCGUAGUUGCAUUUCCGAGGCAAGGGAUUAGUCCGACCUUUGGUGGGUAUUUAAUCCUCUUGCCUCGUCCUUGAGUGGUGCUUCUUGGUAUUAAGUUAUCGAGGAGAUAGCCGCUCAUCGUUUACUGUGAGAAAAUUAGAGUGUUCAAAGCAGGCUUAUGCCGUUGAAUAUAUUAGCAUGGAAUAAUAAGAUAGGACCUCGGUACUAUUUUGUUGGUUUGAGAACCAAGGUAAUGAUGAAUAGGGACAGUUGGGGGUAUUCGUAUUCAGUUGUCAGAGGUGAAAUUCUUAGAUUUACGGAAGACGAACUACUGCGAAAGCAUUUGUCAAGGAUGUUUUCA